RNAcentral lists this ribosomal RNA (374 nucleotides) under uncultured bacterium. RNAcentral describes it as "bacterial SSU rRNA". It matches the Rfam family "Bacterial small subunit ribosomal RNA", at positions 524 to 898 of the family's 1533-position model. The record is from RNAcentral.
UACGUAGGGUGCGAGCGUUAAUCGGAAUUACUGGGCGUAAAGCGUGCGCAGGCGGUCAUGCAAGACAGAUGUGAAAUCCCUGGGCUCAACCUGGGAACUGCAUAUGUGACUGUAUGGCUGGAGUACGGCAGAGGGGGAUGGAAUUCCGCGUGUAGCAGUGAAAUGCGUAGAUAUGCGGAGGAACACCGAUGGCGAAGGCAAUCCCCUGGGCCUGUACUGACGCUCAAGCACGAAAGCGUGGGGAGCAAACAGGAUUAGAUACCCUGGUAGUCCACGCCCUAAACGAUGUCAACUGGUUGUUGGGUCUUGACUGACUCAGUAACGAAGCUAACGCGUGAAGUUGACCGCCUGGGGAGUACGGCCGCAAGGUUGAA